GAUGAACGCUGGCGGCGUGCCUAAUACAUGCAAGUCGAGCGAACAGACGAGGAGCUUGCUCCUCUGACGUUAGCGGCGGACGGGUGAGUAACACGUGGAUAACCUACCUAUAAGACUGGGAUAACUUCGGGAAACCGGAGCUAAUACCGGAUAAUAUAUUGAACCGCAUGGUUGAAUAGUGAAAGACGGUUUUGCUGUCACUUAUAGAUGGAUCCGCGCCGCAUUAGCUAGUUGGUAAGGUAACGGCUUACCAAGGCAACGAUGCGUAGCCGACCUGAGAGGGUGAUCGGCCACACUGGAACUGAGACACGGUCCAGACUCCUACGGGAGGCAGCAGUAGGGAAUCUUCCGCAAUGGGCGAAAGCCUGACGGAGCAACGCCGAGUGAGUGAUGAAGGUCUUCGGAUCGUAAAACUCUGUUAUUAGGGAAGAACAAAUGUGUAAGUAACUAUGCACGUCUUGACGGUACCUAAUCAGAAAGCCACGGCUAACUACGUG
Molecule: ribosomal RNA, 497 nt
Filed under: uncultured bacterium
Lineage: Bacteria
Description: partial 16S ribosomal RNA
Rfam family: Bacterial small subunit ribosomal RNA
Source: RNAcentral